This 505-nucleotide ribosomal RNA is filed under the name uncultured bacterium. Its description in RNAcentral is "partial 16S ribosomal RNA". It matches the Rfam family "Bacterial small subunit ribosomal RNA", at positions 28 to 507 of the family's 1533-position model. The record is from RNAcentral.
GACGAACGCUGGCGGCGUGCCUAAUACAUGCAAGUAGAACGCACAGUUUAUACCGUAGCUUGCUACACCAUAGACUGUGAGUUGCGAACGGGUGAGUAACGCGUAGGUAACCUGCCUGGUAGCGGGGGGUAACUAUUGGAAACGAUAGCUAAUACCGCAUAAUAUUGAUUAUUGCAUGAUAAUUGAUUGAAAGAUGCUAUUGCAUCACUACCAGAUGGACCUGCGUUGUAUUAGCUAGUAGGUGAGGUAACGGCUCACCUAGGCGACGAUACAUAGCCGACCGGAGAGGGUGAUCGGCCACACUGGGACUGAGACACGGCCCAGACUCCUACGGGAGGCAGCAGUAGGGAAUCUUCGGCAAUGGACGAAAGUCUGACCGAGCAACGCCGCGUGAGUGAAGAAGGUUUUCGGAUCGUAAAGCUCUGUUGUAAGAGAAGAACGGGUGUGAGAGUGGAAAGUUCACACUGUGACGGUAUCUGACCAGAAAGGGACGGCUAACUACGUG